AUACCUUUCUCGGCCUUUUGGCUAAGAUCAAGUGGUAUCUGUUCUUAUUAGUGGCCAUGUGCCCACAACGAUAUUCAUGUGCCCACAACGAUAUUAAAUUUAUUUUUUGUGGGGAGGGUCCGCCACACUAGCUUGCUAGUGGGGCCCUUGUGUGUCGCUUGGGCGUUGCACUAUUGCCUACGCCAGGCGCACCCCAA
Molecule: non-coding RNA, 197 nt
Organism: Hordeum vulgare subsp. vulgare (domesticated barley)
Lineage: Eukaryota; Viridiplantae; Streptophyta; Magnoliopsida; Poales; Poaceae
Source: Rfam